Lutra lutra (Eurasian river otter) is the source of this 465-nucleotide long non-coding RNA. RefSeq lists it as uncharacterized. The transcript is spliced from 4 exons. NCBI's taxonomy places the organism in Eukaryota, Metazoa, Chordata, Mammalia, Carnivora, Mustelidae. The record is from RefSeq and is a predicted model, not a curated record.
UCGCAUAGUAGAAUCCUAAAAAAGUUGCAGGAAGAAAUAAAGAGACGAGAAGAGAACUUUGAUAAAGUACUGGUUGGAUAAGCAAGAAUUUGAUAGAGGAUACAGUCGAUCUUUACCUCCAGAGGCGAGCGAAGCAAGUGGUUCAUUAUUCCUCUUUGGAUUAAACAACAAGCAGAAGACCCACCACAGGACUCACCAUAGAUGACAUCAGCAGCCAAAAGCAUUUCACUGCUUAAUCAUGAAACAGAUUCAACAUUGAAACAAUACCAAAGACUCAUUCAUUGAAACGGAAGAUGCAUGCCGUGGUCAUUUUGAGUGGGUGUUCGAUAAAUAUUGAUGCUCAGAAUACUGACGCAGAAGUUCUGCCAGCUAAGCGCAUCAAAGAAAGGCUCAAGGAUCCAGAGAACCAGGUGAACUGGAGGUGGUACCAAUUUCCAGAUGAUAAACAUCCAGACCGAUAGCCAG